CCGAAAAUUAUACGAUCACCACUGGAAAGAUGAAAUUUCCUUCCUUCCAUGUAAAUUUCUCACUCCCAUCUUUCUCUAUUUCAAUUUUGAAUGGAAUUUCUAUGGUGAAGAGACAAUCGGUUCUCAGUCUCAAAGGAUCGCCAUUACUCGGAUUCUGAGACUGCACCUGAAACCCUAGAAUGGAUUAUUGAUUCGCUCAGACGUUACAGGUCUUUAUGUGAUGUUCAUGUUGUCAAUUUCUCCAAGGUUUCUGAUCCUCCUGUAUGUGAAACCUUAGUUGCCCACUUCAUAUGUGUUCGUGCCCAACUCUUAUCUUGCCGGAGAACCUGUGGAAAAUCUUCUCAAAAUUGCGUCUGGAAUAGUCCAGGAGCAUGGUGGGACCUUACUGGUCUCUUAGGGGUGCCUUAGGCCCUCUCUUGGAUAGUCUGAUAUUACUUGAUAAGUUGUUGAUCCUUCAGGAGCAAGGCAAUUUGGUGGAAGCUACAGCUGCACCUAUAUUUUAUCCUUAAUUAUCUCCAUGUGAUGUGGCCAUAAUGCUUGGAAAAAGGAUGCGAAUUUAAUAGUUAGUACUAUAGACUGACUGGGUUGGCUAAAUUACCAGCUUUGGAUUGUUAUGCAAGCAGAGUGCUUUGCAGUGCCGAAGCAUGUUUUCGAACCUAGUCUCCACAGCAUUACUGUAAUCUUGUUUCUUUUUAUUUUUAUUUUUAUUAUUAUUAUUUUUAAUUAUAGACAGGUUGAUGCUUCAAAGGGCUGGAGGCUUAUCAUUCACAUUAUAAGGGAGAAGCUGAGUAACUUCAACUGAUGGUACAUGUCUGUGCCAUGGUAGGCUACAACACAUCACGUGUUUUGGUAUUCAUAUUGUUAAACAAGUUAUUUCUCUCUAGCCCAUAUGCUGUCAUGGGAUGUUGGUGUUCUUCAGAUUGUGAGUAGGGGCUGUUAAGGCUUCAAAUGCUUAAUGUGUCAUCUUCCAUUGUUAUACAUCUGAGCUUCAAGGGCAUGGAGUUGAGUCUCAAAGUUGUGAGAGAGGGUCCAGGUGGCAUUUGUUUGCUGUGGAUGUAUUUGGAUUGGGUUUGACUUGUGCAGCAUACAGAUUUUUGAUUUAGAAAGCAUCAUCAGCUAACAAGGCAAGCCGACAAGCUAACCACGAAGGCAGAGGUGAAAUUAUUUGGUGGUGAAAUUGGCAGAGAAUAGCUCAACUCUCUGGAGAAGUAUAUUUCCACAAAAUGUGCACUUUUGGGGGAAAAUCUGAAAAUCCAUUUCUGUUCCGCUACGCUUAUGGGAAAAGAUAGAUUUGGCUGGAAAGAUUUGAAACUUGCUGGUGAUCAGUUUGGGUACUAGAAGUUCUAUAUGUGGCAGGCCAGCUAGAAUCAUUGUUCUUUUUGUUAUACAAGUCACAUUGCUGUGAAGGUGCUACUACCCUAGUCUUGGGGAUCGACAAGUUCAUUUCUUGAUCUGUUCUUCUUGUGUUGAUAUACAUUGUUGUAAUCAUUACCUAAAACUUGAGCUUUUGGGAUAAGCGGUUGUAACAUGUUAUCAAAGCUAAGCGGUUGGGUGUUUGAUCCCUGGUAUGUGUGAGGGAAGCUCGAGCUUUGAGAUAAACGAUUUUAAGAAUCUGUAAUGGUACUUCUGGGUUAUCCACACCAUUUUGUGCAGCCAAAGGUGACAAUGGCAUAAUUUGGUGGGACCCACCUAAAGGCCUAACGUGUGCUCAAGAAAACAGUUCCCAUUUUUUCGGUGGUCUGUGGUAUGGAAAUCAGAUGGGUUGAUCGAUUUUGAAACUA
Macadamia integrifolia is the source of this 1781-nucleotide long non-coding RNA. RefSeq lists it as uncharacterized. The record is from RefSeq and is a predicted model, not a curated record. NCBI's taxonomy places the organism in Eukaryota, Viridiplantae, Streptophyta, Magnoliopsida, Proteales, Proteaceae. The transcript has 3 exons.